RNAcentral lists this long non-coding RNA (1499 nucleotides) under Populus trichocarpa (black cottonwood). RNAcentral's name for it is "long non-coding RNA (PTRI_LNC000138)". Lineage: Eukaryota; Viridiplantae; Streptophyta; Magnoliopsida; Malpighiales; Salicaceae. The record is from RNAcentral.
AACUUUGAAGAGCACCUUCCAAGUUUUGUUUGCAAUACAAGUACAUCACCGAUUUGUUUCAUGCUGUUUAGUCUCAUCAGCUUGACUUCAUUAUUUCCUUGUGUUAUUAUUUUCAUAUACUUCGCGCUCAAAAACAUUUCAUGCCUAAGCAUGGAAAGGUAUAGGUUUUGGUGCAUGUUUUCAUCCUGCAAUUUGCGGACAAGGUUUAAGCCACUUUUCCUCAUAGACUUGACCUUUUUAAAUUGUUUGGCCAGCAUUUCUGAGUCUACCAUUGUUUGAUGUGGACUCCAUGCCCUGUAUUGCCAUUUCAUUAUACCUUAUGAUUGUGAUUGCAUGUCAGCUUGGAACCAUCCGUCUUGUGAUUGCUUUUGAAACAGUGUCCAUCUUGUGAUUGCUUUUGAAACAGUGUUUGUUUAAAAUUCGAGGGGUGAGUUUAAACAAAAGAAUAGCAUCUCAUUGUCAUGAAUCGUGUCUAGUUGCUUGAAGUCUUGGUGUUGCUUGGCUAUAAUACUCUUUACCAAUCUAGGAAGACUUGGAACAGCCCCAAGUUCAAGCUCGGUCUAAGGUGGCCAAAAUGUGAUAUUUUAAACUUCGGAACCGAGGUUUUGAUUUGAUUUUUUGAAUAUCUGGAAAUGGUGGAAGAUGGAAACUUAAUGUAAAAUCAAAAGUAUGUUAGUGCAAUAGACAUCUUUUCAGAAUACAGAACGGUUGAUCAGAGAGAGGAUCACCAUUGAAUUGAACUAGUUUCUGGAAUAAAAAGCCCGGUUACUAUUAGGAUUAAAAGUCAGGUGUGUGCGCAUUGAAUUGAUACUGGUGUUCAUUUUUACUUCUACCUUUUUAAUUCUUGUCCUGUUUUUGUUCUUCGGUCUGUUUUUUUUUUGGUAACCCGGGGUGUCCGGGCCAGCUUACGCGCACCACAACUAAUUCCACUGAACACCCUGCAAGCCCAGUAGGCAGGUAAGACACCGCGGGGGUGACAGGCAUACACGCUGAGGCUCGAACCCAAGUGACAGAGGCAAGGAAACCUUGCCUCUGCCGCUGGGCCACAAGUCUCGGUGCGAUACAUCAGACGGUAACACGCUUGUAUCAUUACAACUCUCUGGGGACACAAUUUGAACAUUUACUUUUGCAUGUGUGGUUGUGGCAGGGUUGGUAAUUACAAGUCCAUUGGCGGGGCUAAAUAGUUAUCUGCAGCUUAUGAAUAUCUAAAAGAAAGUCUCAAACAUUGUUCACAUCUCAGCAGCUUUGAUCACUGCCUCUCCUUGCUCCUAUAAAUCUCUCUCAAUCUUUUGCAGUUGUCUUGCAGCAACAUUUUUGCUUACUUUGUUGAUUAAUUUGUGAUGCCGAAACUCAUUGCAUGAGAGGUCAAAUUCCUAGAAUGUAACAGCGUUGGUUUUUCACUGCAGGAUCUGAUUAUUUGCCUUGUACGUUGAAUUUUUCAGUUGGAUUUGCAACAUUAAUAUUAUUAUGCUCUAUUCGAUACCUUUCUUUUUCUCUUU